RNAcentral lists this ribosomal RNA (254 nucleotides) under uncultured bacterium. RNAcentral describes it as "partial 16S ribosomal RNA". It matches the Rfam family "Bacterial small subunit ribosomal RNA", at positions 524 to 776 of the family's 1533-position model. The record is from RNAcentral.
UACGGAGGGGGCUAGCGUUGUUCGGAAUUACUGGGCGUAAAGGGCGCGCAGGCGGCUGCUCAAGUCAGGCGUGAAAGGCCUGGGCUCAACCCGGGAAUUGCGCUUGAGACUGGGCUGGCUUGAGUGCGGGAGAGGAUGGUGGAAUUCCCAGUGUAGAGGUGAAAUUCGUAGAUACUGGGAAGAACACCGGUGGCGAAGGCGGCCAUCUGGACCGCAACUGACGCUGAGGCGCGAAAGCGUGGGGAGCAAACAGG